Molecule: transfer RNA, 72 nt
Filed under: Camelus bactrianus (Bactrian camel)
Lineage: Eukaryota; Metazoa; Chordata; Mammalia; Artiodactyla; Camelidae
Also listed under: 1 other name
Rfam family: tRNA
About the family: Transfer RNA (tRNA) molecules are approximately 80 nucleotides in length. Their secondary structure includes four short double-helical elements and three loops (D, anti-codon, and T loops). Further hydrogen bonds mediate the characteristic L-shaped molecular structure. tRNAs have two regions of fundamental functional importance: the anti-codon, which is responsible for specific mRNA codon recognition, and the 3' end, to which the tRNAs corresponding amino acid is attached (by aminoacyl-tRNA synthetases). tRNAs cope with the degeneracy of the genetic code in two manners: having more than one tRNA (with a specific anti-codon) for a particular amino acid; and 'wobble' base-pairing, i.e. permitting non-standard base-pairing at the 3rd anti-codon position.
Source: Rfam by way of RNAcentral
GAGGGUGUAGCUCAGUGGUAGAGUGCUUGCCUAGCAUGCAUGAGGUCCUGGGUUCAAUCCCCAGUGCCUACA